This 1522-nucleotide ribosomal RNA is filed under the name Bacteroidota bacterium. Its description in RNAcentral is "bacterial SSU rRNA". It matches the Rfam family "Bacterial small subunit ribosomal RNA". The record is from RNAcentral. Lineage: Bacteria; Pseudomonadati; Bacteroidota.
ACAAUGGAGAGUUUGAUCCUGGCUCAGGAUGAACGCUAGCGGCAGGCCUAAUACAUGCAAGUCGUGGGGCAGCAGGUGUAGCAAUACAUGCUGGCGACCGGCGCAAGGGUGCGUAACACGUAUGCAACCUACCUAUAACUGGAGGAUAGCCCGGAGAAAUUCGGAUUAAUACUCCAUAGUAUAUUGAAGAGGCAUCUUUUUAAUAUUAAAACUACGGUGGUUAUAGAUGGGCAUGCGUUUGAUUAGCUAGUUGGUAAGGUAAUGGCUUACCAAGGCUACGAUCAAUAGGGGGUCUGAGAGGACGAUCCCCCACACUGGUACUGAGACACGGACCAGACUCCUACGGGAGGCAGCAGUAAGGAAUAUUGGACAAUGGUGGCAACACUGAUCCAGCCAUGCCGCGUGAAGGAUGAAGGACCUAUGGUUCGUAAACUUCUUUUGUAUGGGAAAAAACCUCUUUACGUGUAAAGAGCUGAUUGUACCAUAAGAAUAAGGGUCGGCUAACUUCGUGCCAGCAGCCGCGGUAAUACGAAGGACCCGAGCGUUAUCCGGAUUCAUUGGGUUUAAAGGGUGCGUAGGUGGAAUGAUAAGUCAGUGGUGAAAUCCUGCAGCUUAACUGCAGAACUGCCAUUGAUACUGUCGUUCUUGAAUACGGUUGAUGUGGGCGGAAUAUGACAUGUAGCGGUGAAAUGCUUAGAUAUGUCAUAGAACACCGAUUGCGAAGGCAGCUCACAAAGCCGUUAUUGACACUGAGGCACGAAAGCGUGGGUAGCAAACAGGAUUAGAUACCCUGGUAGUCCACGCCUUAAACGUUGAUCACUAGAUGUUGGCGAUACACAGUCAGCGUCCAAGCGAAAGUGUUAAGUGAUCCACCUGGGGAGUACGAUCGCAAGAUUGAAACUCAAAGGAAUUGACGGGGGCCCGCACAAGCGGUGGAGUAUGUGGUUUAAUUCGAUGAUACGCGAGGAACCUUACCUGGGCUUGAAAGUUAGUGACCGAUGCCGAAAGGUGUCUUCCCGCAAGGGCACGAAACUAGGUGCUGCAUGGCUGUCGUCAGCUCGUGCCGUGAGGUGUUGGGUUAAGUCCCGCAACGAGCGCAACCCCUAUCUUUAGUUGCCAGCGGUUCGGCCGGGGACUCUAAAGAAACUGCCCGCGCAAGCGGUGAGGAAGGUGGGGAUGACGUCAAGUCAGCACGGCCCUUACGUCCAGGGCUACACACGUACUACAAUGGUCGAUACAAAGGGCAGCUACACAGCAAUGUGAUGCUAAUCUCUAAAAUCGAUCUCAGUUCGGAUUGAAGGCUGCAAUUCGCCUUCAUGAAGCUGGAAUCGCUAGUAAUCGGAAAUCAGCAACGUUCCGGUGAAUACGUUCCCGGGCCUUGUACACACCGCCCGUCAAACCAUGGGAGUUGAGGGUGCCUAAAGUCGAUAUCCGCAAGGAAUCGCCUAGGGUAAAAUCAAUGACUGGGGUUAAGUCGUAACAAGGUAGCCGUACCGGAAGGUGCGGCUGGAACACCUCCUUU